AUAUUAAACUCUAUUUUAUGGAACAUGGGCAUAGUUUAAAUUUUUUGUCAAUUAAUUUAGUAAAACUUCAUAAUACUCACUAAAUUGGUUGAUUAACCACUAUAAAAUCGUUAUUCUCUAGAAAAACGGAGACAACAAAGGUUUCAAACCUCUUUGACCUUUAUCAUAUAUUAGCGAAGGAUGCAAUUAUGCAUUAAAAUAGAAUUUUCAUUUUUAUUUUUUUUUUCUCAAAAUCUAUGGGUUAACCCCUACGAAAAUAUUUAAUUUUUUGGUAAAUGCUCUAUAUACUGAAGCCUAUGAUUUUU
RNAcentral lists this long non-coding RNA (305 nucleotides) under Brassica rapa (field mustard). RNAcentral's name for it is "long non-coding RNA (BRAP_LNC005652)". Lineage: Eukaryota; Viridiplantae; Streptophyta; Magnoliopsida; Brassicales; Brassicaceae. The record is from RNAcentral.